AUUGAACGCUGGCGGCAUGCCUAACACAUGCAAGUCGAGCGGAGCGGCGGACGGGUGAGUAAUGCCUAGGAAUCUGCCUGGUAGUGGGGGAUAACGUCCGGAAACGGGCGCUAAUACCGCAUCCUAUCAGAUGAGCCUAGGUCGGAUUAGCUAGUUGGUGGGGUAAAGGCCUCGCAAGGCGACGAUCCGUAACUGGUCUGAGCGGAUGAUCAGUCACACUGGAACUUAGACACGGUCCAGACGCCUACGGGAGGCAGCAGUGGGGAAUGUUGGACAAGUGGCGCAAGCCUGAUCCAGCCAUGACGCGUGUGUGAAGAAGGUCUUCGGAUUUUAAAGCACUUAAAGUUGGGAGGCGUUACCAACAGAAUAAGCACCGGCUAACUUCGUGCCAGCAGCCGCGGUAAUAC
Molecule: ribosomal RNA, 407 nt
Filed under: uncultured bacterium
Lineage: Bacteria
Description: partial 16S ribosomal RNA
Rfam family: Bacterial small subunit ribosomal RNA
Source: RNAcentral